GAUGAAGAACGUAGCGAAAUGCGAUACGUAAUGUGAAUUGCAGAAUUCAGUGAAUCAUCGAAUCUUUGAACGCAUAUUGCGCUCUCUGGUAUUCCGGAGAGCAUGCUUGUUUGAGUAUCAGUAAACACCUCAACUCCCUUUUCUUUUUUGAAAUUGGAGCUGGACUUGAGUGAUCCCAACGCUUUCUUCCAAGAAAGUGGCGGGUUGCUUGAAAUGCAGGUGCAGCUGAACUUUUCUCUGAGCUAUAAGCAUAUCUAUUUAGUCUGCCUAAAAAACAGAUUAUUACCUUUGCUGCAGCUUACAUAAAGGAGACUAGUUCUUGUGCUGACUGAUGCAGGAUUCACAGAGACAGCUUCGGCUGACUUUGUAAACUCGAUCUCAAAUCAAGUAAGACUACCCGCUGAACUUAAGCAUAUCAAUAAGCGGAGGA
Molecule: unclassified non-coding RNA, 430 nt
Filed under: soil metagenome
Description: partial contains 5.8S ribosomal RNA, internal transcribed spacer 2, and large subunit ribosomal RNA
Rfam family: 5.8S ribosomal RNA (bases 1-120)
Source: RNAcentral